This 250-nucleotide ribosomal RNA is filed under the name uncultured bacterium. Its description in RNAcentral is "partial 16S ribosomal RNA". It matches the Rfam family "Bacterial small subunit ribosomal RNA", at positions 524 to 776 of the family's 1533-position model. The record is from RNAcentral.
UACGAAGGGGCUAGCGUUGCUCGGAAUCACUGGGCGUAAAGGGUGCGUAGGCGGGUCUUUAAGUCAGGGGUGAAAUCCUGGAGCUCAACUCCAGAACUGCCUUUGAUACUGAAGGUCUUGAGUUCGGAGAGGUGAGUGGAACUGCGAGUGUAGAGGUGAAAUUCGUAGAUAUUCGCAAGAACACCAGUGGCGAAGGCGGCUCACUGGCCCGAUACUGACGCUGAGGCACGAAAGCGUGGGAGCAAACAGG